GACGAACGCUGGCGGCGUGCUUAACACAUGCAAGUCGAACGGAAAGUCCCUGCGUUUGUUGGGUGCUCGAGUGGCGAACGGGUGAGUAACACGUGAGUAACCUGCCCUUGACUUUGGGAUAACUUUAGGAAACUGGGGCUAAUACCGCAUAUGAGCUCCUGCUGCAUGGUGUGGGUUGGAAAGUUUCGGCGUUUGUGGAUGUACUCGCGGCUUAUCAGCUUGUUUGUGGGGUAGUGGCUUACCAAGCCUUUGACGGGUAGCCUGCCUGAGAGGGUGACCGGCCACAUUGGGACUGAGAUACGGACCAGAAUCCUACGGGCGGCAGCAGUGGAGAAUAUUGCACAAUGGGCGGAAGCCUGAUGCAGCAACGCCGCGUGCGGGAUGACGGCCUUCGGGUUGUAAACAGAUUUCGCAUGUGACGAAGCGUGAGUGACGGUAAUGGGUAAAGAAGCACCGGCUAACUACGUG
This 468-nucleotide ribosomal RNA is filed under the name uncultured bacterium. Its description in RNAcentral is "partial 16S ribosomal RNA". It matches the Rfam family "Bacterial small subunit ribosomal RNA", at positions 28 to 507 of the family's 1533-position model. The record is from RNAcentral.